This 407-nucleotide ribosomal RNA is filed under the name uncultured bacterium. Its description in RNAcentral is "partial 16S ribosomal RNA". It matches the Rfam family "Bacterial small subunit ribosomal RNA", at positions 355 to 774 of the family's 1533-position model. The record is from RNAcentral.
UGGGGAAUAUUGCACAAUGGGCGGAAGCCUGAUGCAGCAACGCCGCGUGCGGGAUGACGGCCUUCGGGUUGUAAACCGCUUUCGCCUGUGACGAAGCGUGAGUGACGGUAAUGGGUAAAGAAGCACCGGCUAACUACGUGCCAGCAGCCGCGGUGAUACGUAGGGUGCGAGCGUUGUCCGGAUUUAUUGGGCGUAAAGGGCUCGUAGGUGGUUGAUCGCGUCGGAAGUGUAAUCUUGGGGCUUAACCCUGAGCGUGCUUUCGAUACGGGUUGACUUGAGGAAGGUAGGGGAGAAUGGAAUUCCUGGUGGAGCGGUGGAAUGCGCAGAUAUCAGGAGGAACACCAGUGGUGAAGGCGGUUCUCUGGGCCUUUCCUGACGCUGAGGAGCGAAAGCGUGGGGAGCGAACA